AACCCGGUGAUCUAGCCAUGGGCAGGUUGAAGGUUGGGUAACACUAACUGGAGGACCGAACCGACUAAUGUUGAAAAAUUAGCGGAUGACUUGUGGCUGGGGGUGAAAGGCCAAUCAAACCGGGAGAUAGCUGGUUCUCCCCGAAAGCUAUUUAGGUAGCGCCUCGUGAACUCAUCUUCGGGGGUAGAGCACUGUUUCGACUAGGGGGUCAUCCCGACUUACCAACUCGAUGCAAACUACGAAUACCGAAGAAUGUUAUCACGGGAGACACACGGCGGGUGCUAACGUUCGUCGUGAAGAGGGAAACAACCCAGACCGCCAGCUAAGGUCCCAAAGUCAUAGUUAAGUGGGAAACGAAGUGGGAAGGCUCAGACAGCCAGGAUGUUGGCUUAGAAGCAGCCAUCAUUUAAAGAAAGCGUAAUAGCUCACUGGUCGAGUCGGCCUGCGCGGAAGAUGUAACGGGGCUAAACUAUGCACCGAAGCUGCGGCAGCGAUAUGUAAAUAUUGUUGGGUAGGGGAGCGUUCUGUAAGCCUGUGAAGGUGUACUGUGAGGUAUGCUGGAGGUAUCAGAAGUGCGAAUGCUGACAUAAGUAACGAUAAUGCGGGUGAAAAACCCGCACGCCGGAAGACCAAGGGUUCCUGUCCAACGUUAAUCGGGGCAGGGUGAGUCGACCCCUAAGGCGAGGCAGAAAUGCGUAGUCGAUGGGAAACGGGUUAAUAUUCCCGUACUGGUGAUAAUUGCGAUGGGGGGACGGAGAAGGCUAGGCUAUCCGGGCGACGGUUGUCCCGGUUUAAGGAUGUAGGCAGGUGAAUUAGGCAAAUCCGGUUCACUAUAUGCUGAGGUCCGAUGACGAGUCACUACGGUGAUGAAGUAGCUCAUGCCCCGCUUCCAGGAAAAGCCUCUAAGCUCUAGAUUAUCAUUAAUCGUACCCCAAACCGACACAGGUGGUCAGGUAGAGAAUACUCAGGCGCUUGAGAGAACUCGGGUGAAGGAACUAGGCAAAAUGGUGCCGUAACUUCGGGAGAAGGCACG
RNAcentral lists this ribosomal RNA (1033 nucleotides) under Providencia rettgeri. Its description in RNAcentral is "partial 23S ribosomal RNA". It matches the Rfam family "Bacterial large subunit ribosomal RNA", at positions 719 to 1750 of the family's 2925-position model. The record is from RNAcentral. Lineage: Bacteria; Pseudomonadati; Pseudomonadota; Gammaproteobacteria; Enterobacterales; Morganellaceae.